ACGAACGCUGGCGGCGUGCCUAAUCCCUGCAAGUAGAACGCACAGUUUAUACCGUAGCUUGCUACACCCUAGACUGUGAGUUGCGAACGGGUGAGUAACGCGUAGGUAACCUGCCUGGUAGCGGGGGAUAACUAUUGGAAACGAUAGCUAAUACCGCAUAAUAUUGAUUAUUGCAUGAUAAUUAAUUGAAAGGUGCAAUUGCACCACUACCAGAUGGACCUGCGUUGUAUUAGCUAGUAGGUGAGGUAACGGCUCACCUAGGCGACGAUACAUAGCCGACCUGAGAGGGUGAUCGGCCACACUGGGACUGAGACACGGCCCAGACUCCUACGGGAGGCAGCAGUAGGGAAUCUUCGGCAAUGGACGAAAGUCUGACCGAGCAACGCCGCGUGAGUGAAGAAGGUUUUCGGAUCGUAAAGCUCUGUUGUAAGAGAAGAACGGGUGUGAGAGUGGAAAGUUCACACUGUGACGGUAUCUUACCAGAAAGGGACGGCUAACUACGUG
This 504-nucleotide ribosomal RNA is filed under the name uncultured bacterium. Its description in RNAcentral is "partial 16S ribosomal RNA". It matches the Rfam family "Bacterial small subunit ribosomal RNA", at positions 29 to 507 of the family's 1533-position model. The record is from RNAcentral.